This is a non-coding RNA of Streptococcus parauberis NCFD 2020, 2905 nucleotides long. The record is from Rfam. Lineage: Bacteria; Bacillati; Bacillota; Bacilli; Lactobacillales; Streptococcaceae.
GGUUAAGUUAAUAAGGGCGCACGGUGGAUGCCUUGGCACUAGAAGCCGAUGAAGGACGUGACUAACGACGAAAUGCUUUGGGGAGCUGUAAGUAAGCAAAGAUCCAGAGAUGUCCGAAUGGGGAAACCCGGCGAUGUAAUGCAUGUCAUCCAUGACUGUUAAGGUCAUGAGAAGGAAGACGCAGUGAACUGAAACAUCUAAGUAGCUGCAGGAAGAGAAAGCAAACGCGAUUGCCUUAGUAGCGGCGAGCGAAACGGCAGAAGGGCAAACCGAGGAGUUUACUCCUCGGGGUUGUAGGACUGCGACGUGGGAUCAAAUACUAUAGAAGAAUUACCUGGGAAGGUAAGCCAAAGAGAGUAAUAGCCUCGUAUUUAAAAUAGUAAAUGACUCUAGCAGUAUCCUGAGUACGGCGAGACACGCGAAAUCUCGUCGGAAUCUGGGAGGACCAUCUCCCAACCCUAAAUACUCUCUAGUGACCGAUAGUGAACCAGUACCGUGAGGGAAAGGUGAAAAGCACCCCGGAAGGGGAGUGAAAUAGAACCUGAAACCGUGUGCCUACAACAAGUUCGAGCCCGUUAAUGGGUGAGAGCGUGCCUUUUGUAGAAUGAACCGGCGAGUUACGAUAUGAUGCGAGGUUAAGUUGAAGAGACGGAGCCGUAGGGAAACCGAGUCUUAAUAGGGCGACUUAGUAUCAUGUUGUAGACCCGAAACCAUGUGACCUACCCAUGAGCAGGUUGAAGGUGAGGUAAAACUCACUGGAGGACCGAACCAGGGCACGUUGAAAAGUGCUUGGAUGACUUGUGGGUAGCGGAGAAAUUCCAAACGAACUUGGAGAUAGCUGGUUCUCUCCGAAAUAGCUUUAGGGCUAGCGUCGAUGUUAAGUCUCUUGGAGGUAGAGCACUGUUUGGGUGAGGGGUCCAUCCCGGAUUACCAAUCUCAGAUAAACUCCGAAUGCCAACGAGAUAUAAUCGGCAGUCAGACUGCGAGUGCUAAGAUCCGUAGUCGAAAGGGAAACAGCCCAGACCACCAGCUAAGGUCCCAAAAUAAUUGUUAAGUGGAAAAGGAUGUGGGGUUGCACAGACAACUAGGAUGUUAGCUUAGAAGCAGCUAUUCAUUCAAAGAGUGCGUAAUAGCUCACUAGUCGAGUGACCCUGCGCCGAAAAUGUACCGGGGCUAAAACAAUUUACCGAAGCUGUGGAUUACCUUUAGAGGUAAUGGUAGGAGAGCGUUCUAUGUGUGAAGAAGGUAUACCGUGAGGAGUGCUGGAACGCAUAGAAGUGAGAAUGCCGGUAUGAGUAGCGAAAGACAGGUGAGAAUCCUGUCCACCGUAAGACUAAGGUUUCCAGGGGAAGGCUCGUCCGCCCUGGGUUAGUCGGGACCUAAGGAGAGACCGAAAGGUGUAUUCGAUGGCCAACAGGUUGAUAUUCCUGUACUAGUAUGUAAAGUGAUGGAGGGACGCAGUAGGCUAACUAAAGCGUGCGAAUGGAAGAGCACGUUCAAGCAGUGAGGUGUGGUAUGAGUCAAAUGCUUAUACCUAAUACAUUGAGCUGUGAUGAGGAGCGAAAUUAAGUAGCGAAGUUAGUGAUGUCACACUGCCAAGAAAAGCUUCUAGCGUUUAAUUACAUACUACCCGUACCGCAAACCGACACAGGUAGUCGAGGCGAGUAGCCUCAGGUGAUCGAGAGAACUCUGGUUAAGGAACUCGGCAAAAUGACCCCGUAACUUCGGGAGAAGGGGUGCUGGCGUUAGCGUCAGCCGCAGUGAAUAGGCCCAAGCAACUGUUUAUCAAAAACACAGCUCUCUGCUAAAUCGUAAGAUGAUGUAUAGGGGGUGACGCCUGCCCGGUGCUGGAAGGUUAAGAGGAGUGCUUAGCGUAAGCGAAGGUAUGAAUUGAAGCCCCAGUAAACGGCGGCCGUAACUAUAACGGUCCUAAGGUAGCGAAAUUCCUUGUCGGGUAAGUUCCGACCCGCACGAAAGGCGUAAUGAUUUGGGCACUGUCUCAACGAGAGACUCGGUGAAAUUUUAGUACCUGUGAAGAUGCAGGUUACCCGCGACAGGACGGAAAGACCCCAUGGAGCUUUACUGCAGUUUGAUAUUGAGUAUCUGUACCACAUGUACAGGAUAGGUAGGAGCCAUUGAAGACGGGACGCCAGUUUCGUCUGAGGCAAUGUUGGGAUACUACCCUUGUGUUAUGGCUACUCUAACCCAGAUAGGUUAACCCUAUCGGAGACAGUGUCUGACGGGCAGUUUGACUGGGGCGGUCGCCUCCUAAAAGGUAACGGAGGCGCCCAAAGGUUCCCUCAGAUUGGUUGGAAAUCAAUCGUAGAGUGUAAAGGUAUAAGGGAGCUUGACUGCGAGAGUUACAACUCGAGCAGGGACGAAAGUCGGGCUUAGUGAUCCGGUGGUUCCGCAUGGAAGGGCCAUCGCUCAACGGAUAAAAGCUACCCUGGGGAUAACAGGCUUAUCUCCCCCAAGAGUUCACAUCGACGGGGAGGUUUGGCACCUCGAUGUCGGCUCGUCGCAUCCUGGGGCUGUAGUCGGUCCCAAGGGUUGGGCUGUUCGCCCAUUAAAGCGGCACGCGAGCUGGGUUCAGAACGUCGUGAGACAGUUCGGUCCCUAUCCGUCGCGGGCGUAGGAAAUUUGAGAGGAUCUGCUCCUAGUACGAGAGGACCAGAGUGGACUUACCGCUGGUGUACCAGUUGUCUUGCCAAAGGCAUCGCUGGGUAGCUAUGUAGGGAAGGGAUAAGCGCUGAAAGCAUCUAAGUGCGAAGCCCCCCUCAAGAUGAGAUUUCCCAUGAUUUUAUAUCAGUAAGAGCCCUGAGAGAUGAUCAGGUAGAUAGGUUAGAAGUGGAAGUAUAGCGAUAUAUGAAGCGGACUAAUACUAAUAGCUCGAGGACUUAUCCUA